This 1244-nucleotide ribosomal RNA is filed under the name 'Brassica oleracea' fasciation phytoplasma. RNAcentral describes it as "bacterial SSU rRNA". It matches the Rfam family "Bacterial small subunit ribosomal RNA", at positions 156 to 1399 of the family's 1533-position model. The record is from RNAcentral. Lineage: Bacteria; Bacillati; Mycoplasmatota; Mollicutes; Acholeplasmatales; Acholeplasmataceae.
ACGACUGCUAAGACUGGAUAGGAGACAAGAAGGCAUCUUCUUGUUUUUAAAAGACCUAGCAAUAGGUAUGCUUAGGGAGGAGCUUGCGUCACAUUAGUUAGUUGGUGGGGUAAAGGCCUACCAAGACUAUGAUGUGUAGCCGGGCUGAGAGGUUGAACGGCCACAUUGGGACUGAGACACGGCCCAAACUCCUACGGGAGGCAGCAGUAGGGAAUUUUCGGCAAUGGAGGAAACUCUGACCGAGCAACGCCGCGUGAACGAUGAAGUAUUUCGGUACGUAAAGUUCUUUUAUUAGGGAAGAAUAAAUGAUGGAAAAAUCAUUCUGACGGUACCUAAUGAAUAAGCCCCGGCUAACUAUGUGCCAGCAGCCGCGGUAAUACAUAGGGGGCAAGCGUUAUCCGGAAUUAUUGGGCGUAAAGGGUGCGUAGGCGGUUAAAUAAGUUUAUGGUCUAAGUGCAAUGCUCAACAUUGUGAUGCUAUAAAAACUGUUUAGCUAGAGUAAGAUAGAGGCAAGUGGAAUUCCAUGUGUAGUGGUAAAAUGCGUAAAUAUAUGGAGGAACACCAGUAGCGAAGGCGGCUUGCUGGGUCUUUACUGACGCUGAGGCACGAAAGCGUGGGGAGCAAACAGGAUUAGAUACCCUGGUAGUCCACGCCGUAAACGAUGAGUACUAAACGUUGGGUAAAACCAGUGUUGAAGUUAACACAUUAAGUACUCCGCCUGAGUAGUACGUACGCAAGUAUGAAACUUAAAGGAAUUGACGGGACUCCGCACAAGCGGUGGAUCAUGUUGUUUAAUUCGAAGGUACCCGAAAAACCUCACCAGGUCUUGACAUGCUUCUGCAAAGCUGUAGAAACACAGUGGAGGUUAUCAGUUGCACAGGUGGUGCAUGGUUGUCGUCAGCUCGUGUCGUGAGAUGUUGGGUUAAGUCCCGCAACGAGCGCAACCCUUUAUUGUUAGUUACCAGCACGUAAUGGUGGGGACUUUAGCAAGACUGCCAGUGAUAAAUUGGAGGAAGGUGGGGACGACGUCAAAUCAUCAUGCCCCUUAUGACCUGGGCUACAAACGUGAUACAAUGGCUGUUACAAAGGGUAGCUGAAGCGCAAGUUUUUGGCGAAUCUCAAAAAAACAGUCUCAGUUCGGAUUGAAGUCUGCAACUCGACUUCAUGAAGUUAGAAUCGCUAGUAAUCGCGAAUCAGCAUGUCGCGGUGAAUACGUUCGCGGGGUUUGUACACACCGCCCGUCA